Molecule: transfer RNA, 73 nt
Filed under: Ailuropoda melanoleuca (giant panda)
Lineage: Eukaryota; Metazoa; Chordata; Mammalia; Carnivora; Ursidae
Rfam family: tRNA
About the family: Transfer RNA (tRNA) molecules are approximately 80 nucleotides in length.
Source: Rfam by way of RNAcentral
ACCUGGUUGGCUCAGUCAGUAGAGCAUGCGACUCCUAAUCCUGGGGUCAUGAGUUCAAGCCCCACUCUGGGUG